RNAcentral lists this ribosomal RNA (70 nucleotides) under Entamoeba histolytica. RNAcentral's name for it is "partial small subunit ribosomal RNA". The record is from RNAcentral. Lineage: Eukaryota; Evosea; Mastigamoebida; Endamoebidae.
AUGACUUCUAGUGAGUUAGGUGCCACGACAAUUGUAGAACACACAGUGUUUAAAAUAAAAUGAAUGAACG